GGACACGCGGGACACAUGGUAGGCUCUGGUUGGCCUAGGGACACCUGCCACCAUAACUGCGCCAGGCUCCGUUGCCUAUUUAAGCCCCCCACCUUUCCUCCAGGGGCUCCACGACAUCUUUCUUUCGCCUGAGAGCUUAGCCACUCAGCCACUCCAUCGGUGCCCCUUUCGACUCCGAGCGUCCUCCGCACCGAUCUUUGCCAUCUCCACCGGCUUUCCACCGUUUCCAGUCCCCCGAGUCUCUCCAAGGGGUUCCCCCGUUGGGGCCUCCAUCCCGGAGGCCAAUCUCAAGAUGAUGACACGG
RNAcentral lists this long non-coding RNA (304 nucleotides) under Elaeis guineensis (African oil palm). RNAcentral's name for it is "long non-coding RNA (EGUI_LNC074417)". Lineage: Eukaryota; Viridiplantae; Streptophyta; Magnoliopsida; Arecales; Arecaceae. The record is from RNAcentral.